This 1251-nucleotide long non-coding RNA is filed under the name Anser cygnoides (Swan goose). RNAcentral describes it as "lncRNA (ENSACDG00005005537.1)". Lineage: Eukaryota; Metazoa; Chordata; Aves; Anseriformes; Anatidae. The record is from RNAcentral.
CUCAUGGGUUCAGGGCUUGCAGUCAAUGUGAGCAUUGAAUUAAUUCCACUACAGUGGAGUUAGAGAUUCAGAAGUCGAAUCCCAAAAUUAGUCUGUUCUCUGGUAACAUGCUGGUUUUGGAUAAACAAGCACACGGUGUUUUAAUGUGUUUUAUAUCUCUGGAUUUUUAAAACAUAUCACAUCACUCUUCAGUUUACAUUUUCAUCUGGGCCAAUCACUGCUAGGUUAGCAAAUGAAAAAGAUGCUGUCUGGGAAAAAAUAAAAUGUCAUUUCUGCCUUGGUAUUUAUGUAGAUUCUUUUCUAGUGUAUAUUGGGAAAGAAAAGAAAUUUUAAAAUAGUUUUGCGAACAAUAGAAAAGUAAGAGCAAGAAAGAACUGUGCAGUGUUAAUUGUUUUCUUAUUUUCUGUUAUGAAAAUGAAAAUUGUAUUGAAAGAUUUUAUUUAAACUAGAGAGAAAAGAAAUUUUCCUCUGGUUCAGGCAAAUGAGAAUGAUUUACAUUUCAAGACCAGCUGAGGAUUUGCAGGCUCCUUGCGGUGAGAUGGUCAGAGGCUGCCUGCCAGAACUUGUGGUUUCUGCAGGAAGAGGGAGACGAGGAGAGCACCAUGCCUCAGUAGGUAACUCAAUAAUAAGACGGUAUGUGGCUAUGACAGCGAUCCAUCAGGAGUUCUCCAACAUUAUCCGCAUGCUUCAUAGACCUCCCUUUUCCUCUCACUUGGCUCCUGCCUGCUCUGGGGCUUAUCAGCAUGAAUGGGAUGAAUGUGGGGCCUCUGCUGACAUGAAAAAGCAGAUUAAGGAAAGGAGCUACAGAAGAGACAGAAACAUUUUCCAGUGGGCAAUUGAGAUAAGAGGGUGUGUUGCCACCACAGAAGCCAGUCUGAGAGGAGCCUUCAGAAGAAAACAAAGGACUGCUGAGGGUGGGCUCAGGUUGAGAAGGGGAGCACUGGAUUCUGAAAGGCUCUUCAGAAAGAUUGGACCUUCAGUAAUUUGCCUUUAAUGCAAGCCCAGAAAUAACUAUUAGCACUGAAGAUAGCUGAUAGAUCAGCCAAGAAAUGACUGAUAGAUCAGCCCUCACACUGGUGAGGGGACAAGUUCAGAGAAUUAUCACGACUGCCCUUGUAGCAGAGAUGGGGACCUCCCUGCAUUACACAAAACAGUAGGAAAAUCUUACUGCACACACUGCUGCAGUAUCUCAGCCCACCUCACUAUCCUUAGUUAUGUACUUUACUAAAAUAAAACAUCAGCCCAAAAUCA